CCUACGGGUGGCAGCAGUGAGGAAUAUUGGUCAAUGGACGAGAGUCUGAACCAGCCAAGUAGCGUGAAGGAUGAUUGCCCUAUGGGUUGUAAACUUCUUUUAUAUGGGAAUAAAAUGUUCCACGUGUGGGAUUUUGUAUGUACCAUAUGAAUAAGGAUCGGCUAACUCCGUGCCAGCAGCCGCGGUAAUACGGAGGAUCCGAGCGUUAUCCGGAUUUAUUGGGUUUAAGGGGAGCGUAGGUGGAUUGUUAAGUCAGUUGUGAAAGUUUGCGGCACAACCGUAAAAUUGCAGUUGAAACUGGCAGUCUUGAGUACAGUAGAGGUGGGCGGAAUUCGUGGUGUAGCGGUGAAAUGCUUAGAUAUCACGAAGAACUCCGAUUGCGAAGGCAGUUCACUGGACUGCAACUGACACUGAGGCUCGAAAGUGUGGGUAUCAAACAGGAUUAGAUACCCCGGUAGUC
Molecule: ribosomal RNA, 460 nt
Filed under: uncultured bacterium
Lineage: Bacteria
Description: partial 16S ribosomal RNA
Rfam family: Bacterial small subunit ribosomal RNA
Source: RNAcentral